CCAUCGCCGUCGCCGUCGCCGAAGCCCAAGAACCCCAAGCCACCCAAAGGCCCCGCGUACCCGGCGCCGGGGCACCAGCAACCGCCCAAGAGCCCCUCCUACCCGCCGGUCACGCGUCCGCCAGUCGUCGGCCCGCCCAAGGGCCCCGUCACGCGCCCGCCGGUCACGCGUCCGCCGGUCGUCGGACCACCGGUGACCUACCCGCCGAUCAUCGGCCCACCGGUCACGCGUCCGCCGGUCGUCGGGCCACCGGUGACCUACCCGCCGAUUACCGGCCCUCCGACGACGCCGCCGGUCGUCGGCCCACCGGUCACCUACCCGCCGAUCACCGGCCCUCCGUCAACCACGCCUCCGAUCACCGGCCCGCCGUCGACGACGCCCCCAGUCACCGGUCCGCCCGUGACCUACCCGCCCGGCGGAGGCGGCGGCAGCUCGACGCCGUGCCCGCCGCCGC
This 454-nucleotide long non-coding RNA is filed under the name Sorghum bicolor (sorghum). Its description in RNAcentral is "long non-coding RNA (SBIC_LNC018291)". Lineage: Eukaryota; Viridiplantae; Streptophyta; Magnoliopsida; Poales; Poaceae. The record is from RNAcentral.